This 571-nucleotide ribosomal RNA is filed under the name Nyctibatrachus jog. RNAcentral's name for it is "partial 16S ribosomal RNA". It matches the Rfam family "Bacterial large subunit ribosomal RNA", at positions 1831 to 2619 of the family's 2925-position model. Lineage: Eukaryota; Metazoa; Chordata; Amphibia; Anura; Nyctibatrachidae. The record is from RNAcentral.
UCCCGGAUUUAAUAGAAGGGGUCCAGCCUGCCCAGUGACAAGUUCAACGGCCGCGGUACCCUGACCGUGCGAAGGUAGCAUAAUCACUUGUUCUUUAAAUAAGGACUAGUAUCAACGGCACUACGAGGACUACACUGUCUCCCUUUUCUAAUCAAUGAAACUAACCUCCCCGUGAAGAGGCGGGGAUAAAACUAUAAGACGAGAAGACCCCAUGGAGCUUUAAAUUCAACAGGUAACCCUGCAUAACACACCAACAAAGCCUUCCAAUCCUACCUGUUAAUUUUAGGUUGGGGUGACCGCGGAGUAUAUCUUAACCUCCAUAACGAACAAGACAUCAUCCUUUAUCCAAGAGCUACAACUCUAAGAAUCAAUAAAUUGACGUCCAAUGACCCGACAUUCGAUUAAUGAAACAAGUUACCCUGGGGAUAACAGCGCAAUCUACUUUUAGAGCCCAUAUCGACAAGUAGGCUUACGACCUCGAUGUUGGAUCAGGAUAUCCAGGUGGUGCAGCCGCUACUAAAGGUUCGUUUGUUCAACGAUUAAAAUCCUACGUGAUCUGAGUUCAGACGGG